Molecule: ribosomal RNA, 468 nt
Filed under: uncultured bacterium
Lineage: Bacteria
Description: partial 16S ribosomal RNA
Rfam family: Bacterial small subunit ribosomal RNA
Source: RNAcentral
GACGAACGCUGGCGGCGUGCUUAACACAUGCAAGUCGAACGGAAAGGCUCUGCUUUUGUGGGGUGCUCGAGUGGCGAACGGGUGAGUAACACGUGAGUAACCUGCCCUUGACUUUGGGAUAACUUCAGGAAACUGGGGCUAAUACCGGAUAGGAGCUCCUGCUGCAUGGUGGGGGUUGGAAAGUUUCGGCGGUUGGGGAUGGACUCGCGGCUUAUCAGCUUGUUGGUGGGGUAGUGGCUUACCAAGGCUUUGACGGGUAGCCGGCCUGAGAGGGUGACCGGCCACAUUGGGACUGAGAUACGGCCCAGACUCCUACGGGAGGCAGCAGUGGGGAAUAUUGCACAAUGGGCGGAAGCCUGAUGCAGCAACGCCGCGUGCGGGAUGACGGCCUUCGGGUUGUAAACCGCUUUCGCCUGUGACGAAGCGUGAGUGACGGUAAUGGGUAAAGAAGCACCGGCUAGCUACGUG